AAGGCGAGCACGAAAAUCACGGCUCGUUAAAACGUCGGUACGUCCUCCUUCUUUCUCUCUCUCUCUCUCUCUCUCUCUCUCUUUUUCUCUUCUCUCUUUCUCGCUUUUUGUUUUCUGCCACUCUCUAUUUCAUAGCACCUGUCGUCCCUAUCGUAUACUUAAUCUGUUUUAUCGGCCAACGACGAGGCACAGAUACGUCCAUCGUGAUUUCGGCGCACUGCUGACGCGAUGAGUGAUCCGACUAUAGCUUUAGGGCCGUUUUAGUUGACCGUAAUUAAUCGGGUUUCAAAUGAACAGUUAUAUUCGCGUUAAGCACGGCGCAAUCGAACAAUAUACAUCGAUUCUAUUAUGUACAUGACAACGUGAUAUGUUUGUUCUGUCCCUCUCCAUUCUCUCUCUCUCUCUCUCUCUCUCUCUUUGCUGCUCCUCUUUAAACUUUUCUCGCUCUAUCUAUCUAUCUAUGAAUUAUUUUAAUGACAGCAUUUUUUUCACAUUAUGUCGACGUUGUGAAAUUUUAUGCCAGCGUCUACUAUUUCUGUAUUAAUGAAAAAUGAUUCAACGUGCUCAUUUAUCAAUGUUGAUUACGUUCGUUUUUUUCCAUUCCACCAAUGCUAUUAUCGCUGAUACCGCAGUUAACGAGUGCGUGCAAAUAAUAUUUGUCGACUACAUCAUUCAACCACCUUUGGAAUCUAGACAAUUCAGAGUAUCAAUCUCAUGAACGCAAUGACUAAGGGAACGCACAAUUCUCGGAAUACUUUUUUCGUAUUACUGCUGCUGCUGCUGCUGCUGCUGUUUCUGCUCCUCCAUUAUCUUUACCGACCGGUGCUUCGGUCUAACAGAUACAAUUGAGAAAGAUACAUCGUUAGCCCGUGGGCGAUAUCGUAUACUCGAAUCGUGUAUUCCGUUGGUGUACGGGUCCGACGAUUUUUGCAAGUUGAAGCACGAAGACUGGAAGCCUCGAAAGUUUUCGGUCCCGCAGAUACGGUCGAAUAAACGAGAGGACAGGGCGCGGUACACGGCGUGCCAUGCAUACGCGUAGGUAUUAGUUGCUUCUCUCAGUUCACUCAGCGUGUGCAAACAAAUCGAAAGUUUUUCGCAAAAUGGCCGUCACCAGGCUGACACGGAUGUCCGCAUAAACUCUCUCUUUCUCUCUCUCUCUCUCUCUUUCACUUCCCCCCCUCUCUCUUUCUCCCACCCUUCUCUCUUUUCCCGUGCUCUCUCAACUGGCCGCCGACUGGCUGCCUCUCUCGCCACUCGUGAUUUCCCUCACUUCCCACACCACCACAAAUAUGGCGCCUCCACCCGUUUUCCCAACCCCUACAACGUGCCUCUAUAAAGUGAGAGCAACGGAGAAAGAGGGAAAGAGAGCGUGAGAGAGAGAGAGAGAGAGAUCGCGAGGUAUAGAGUACAUACACGCUGAACCAAUGCGAUUGUGUCCGAGUAUCCGUGUGUAGCGAGUACGAUCCUAUGCGUGUGGCAAGGGGGUGCCCCUAUGUGAAUAUCGCGCAGCACACAGUCCCAAGCAGUUUCCUACUUGAUUGCCGCUAUCGUCCGCUCGCUUCGUAAAGGAACUGCUCCACGCGGACUGUCUGUGACGCCUCGACCAACCAGAACGCGUCUAGCCGCUACUUCGCCAAUCGACAGACAGCCAGCCCCACCGCGCGACUCGGCUGCCGCAAAGAGUCGAAUGAAAGCGCGACCUCGGCCAAUGAGAACGAAACUUUUUGAGUUGACGCUCGUACGUUAGAUCCGCGCGGAUUGUUGCUCGAGCCCCACGGAUGUUCCUAUACGGAAUGAAGGUGCUACGCGAAGCCGCAGCGAAACAUGAAAAAUAGGGGGCUACAUGAGGAAAAACACGGACCGGGUAGGAAGGAGGAGGGCUCUGUGGGAUGGAUCCUACGAACCGAGACACCAAAGGCUGGCGCAGUCGUGGUUGUGUGGGGCAGCCAAGAAGGAGGGAUGUCGAGGAUAGAGGCCGAGGAUGAGAAUGGAAAAGUAACAUAACGAAACGUCGAUCCCAUUACCUGGAGCUCUCUCGCCCUGCCGCCACCGUGCACCGAGCCCUGCUUUCGACCCUUAAUCCAAAGGAGGAUUAGAAAACCCCAUUGUCAUGCUUCGCGGAACGCGGGAUGGGAUAUAUACAUACAUAUGUACAGAAUAGCACUCCGCACAAUUUCUCCCUUCCCCCUGCUUCUCCACUCCGCCUUUCGCUUUGCACACAACGGAGGCGGUGGUGCAGGACCCUCCUAAUGAAAUAAAUACGUGACGUGCCGUGCUAGUGACGAUACGAUGGUAGUUCUGUUUAUCGCCAACCAUGAACUUUUUGCACGAUGCACAGAAACGCUCAACCCCCCUCCCCUCCCCUCCCCUCCCUUCCACCUCUAGCUCGACUACUCUCGUUUUACCGUUUUCCUUCCUUCUUCCGUCUCGUUUUAACUCUGUUCCGUCUGGUUCGCUCGCUCUUUAUCUUGUUCCACGGGGCGAAGAAGGAAUAUAAGGCAGUGCUGUGGAGUGUUGGCGAAGCUGUCGGUCGCGCUUGGUCGGCUGCGGUUUAUGCGGAGCCGCCUUGCCUGCCGCCUGCCGCAGCCGGUUUGCGUGUUCGCCCGUGUUCGCUCGGUGGAUACGUGUCCUCGGUGCGGCUCGGUGCUCACCGAACGACCAUGGACGCGCUCAGCUACGGAGAGUAAAGAGGAGAGAUCGAGGGAGAAAGGGUGAAGAAAGGAAAGAGAUGAAGGCAAUGAACGGGAGCGAGACGGACGUAUACGACGAAAUGCGAGGGUGAGGGAGACGGCAGCAGGCGGCAGAACCAGUCGCUGCGGUCGUCGCGGUUAACCGCGCCGGUGCUCUCAACCCACGGCGACCUCGGUAACCGCACGAAGAAUACUGUCUCUCUUCCACGAUGCUACCAAGCUCUAUUGCCAACUCGGAAGCCGUCGGUACGCGAGAAUUUCCUGCUCGGAAAAUCGCCGGGGAAAACUCGAGGAGCUGGUUUAAUUAAUUAUAAUUGGCUGAGUGCAUUGGGCAACCGCCUCUUCUCUGACCAACGUCCACUUCAUCCGCCGCCACGGGAGAGGGAGAGAUCUAAGAGCUCGACUUCUGCUUGAAUGAGAGUACGUACGUCUCGCCAGGUUGAAGAGGAUUUGCGAGGAUGAUCGAGCGCUGCGGGCUGGCCAUUAAAUAUAUUUGAAAGAGGCAUACCGUUUCAAACGGAUCUUCGAAAUAAUUGAACGUCGAAUGGCCGCUAAUAACGUGCAAUUUGUAUAUCGGGCAAACAUCGAUCAACCCGAGUAGCCCCGACGAGACAAAAAUAUUAAUCACAUUUAUUAAUUAUGGAGGAAAUUGAAGGAUUGAGAGCAUCAAGUUAUACUUUUUAAUUUUAUUUCCCUCCACGUGUACACGGGCCUGUCGAUUCGUGUAAAUCGAAAUCAAUGAACGAAAUCGAUGUUAUCGAUCGAGUAACAUGACACAACAUGCUUCGAUGUACAACCUGUAUAUUCAAAAAUUAAGGUUCUUGGAAUAGGAAAAAAAGAAGAAUAACGUUCUCCGCUUUCUUCCACAUGUUGUCCAACUCGAUCUACAAUACCCAUGGAUCGAAUGUCUAAACGAAACACGAAGAGGUUAGAAUCACCUCUCCCAACCGAGAAUCGUUUCCGAGAAGUAUUUAACAAUGGGCCAAUAUUUGGUUGGAAAGAAAGGAAAAAAAAAAACGUCCUAAAAACUCUCGGAAACGGUCGAUUACGCUCGUAAUUGCAGCCAACGCUGCGCUAAUUUUGCUAACUAUGCAAUUAGCCGAGUGUAUUUAAAAAGAUCAAAAUUAAAAAUAGCCAAAACUAGUCGCAGCAGAGUAAAAUUCGGGAAAUUCGCCCUCGAACAAAAGAACAAAAGAAGGGGGAGAAAAAAAAACGGAGAGCAUAGAGAGAGAGAAAAAAGCCAAAAAGAAAGGAGAAAAAAAAAAAGAAACGAAAAGCAAAAGAAGGAACGAAUGGAAAGAAGCCGAUAAAGGACGAUGCUCGGUCUUUUGGCAAAAUAUCACGUUGCCACGAAACGAAUCUAGCAGGCACACUCACGGCUGACAAAUGUCUUCCGCGGUUCUGGCAGCGGCGUACCGUUAUCCAAAUUACAAAUAACACACCGCCGUCGACGUUUUAUCCAACGCCCGGAGACAAAUUGCUCCCGACUUGGGAUGGGUUGGCUCGAAAUUAUCCCCACCAUAUACCCGGCCAUGGUGUAACCGCGCGUCGUGGACUUCGUUAAUACCGGUAGUGGCUCGGCCCCUUGCUCGCCACACGGAAUUAACACGGCGAAGUGUAUUUAUGGAUCCGGCCCCGGCCAGGUAACCCGAGAAAGACCCUUGCCAGAGUUUUGCUUCUUCCCUCUCCCCCCUCCUCCAUUCUCCCCUAUUCUUUUCGCGUUUCCCUCUCUGACCAAGAGCGCUCGGUCGACCAAUGGUCUUUUUUUCUCUCUCUCUCUUUUUCUCUCCACGAAGGAGGAUUAAUUAAUGAGUCUGAUCCAAGCAUUACCCGCUUUACAGAGCCGGUACGUGGCCUUCGAACCGCGUGCACUGGCGUGGGAAUGUCCCUGGCAAUUUCAAUUUCGUUAAUUAUCGCAAAAUCCGCUUUUAUUUGAUGUAACGAUCCGGUCUCGAGGCAACGUAUUUGGUAAUAACUUUCCCAUUAAAUCACCACGCUGCCUGUCCGCAUACCUCCUUCUCCCCCCUCUCUUUUUCCUCUUCUUUCUUUUCACAGUUCCAAACUGUGCGAAGAAGAAGAUAAAGAAAGUGUGAUCUUUUUUUUUUCUUUUUUCUUUUUCUUAUUACCUUCGCGAAACUUCUUUCUCACGUAUCGCAGCUUUUUUUGCUCGAAACGAUCGAAAGCGGUUUACGGUUUUUAUAUAUAUAUAUAUAUAUAUAUAUAUAUAAGGCACGGAGUAUAACUUAUUUGUACUUUCGUCGUUCAUUUCGGUUGGCAAAUAAUAAUUCUUAGCUGGCUUAAAAAGAGAGAGAAAAAAAGAAAGGGGGGAGGGAAAAAAAACGUCCUGUCCAGAAGUUUCGUCUGGUCCUCGUUGUUAUCGUCGUCGUGGUAGUUUCUCUGUACGUCGAAGAAUUAUUGUUACGGGGAUACGGUAAUCAAAUAACCAUCACCCCUGCGCUCCACGCCAUUGGCCCAUAUCCGCGCCGCACGGGACGUGAUACACGUGUAGUCACGGCGUGUAACGCGUGCUCGAAUAUAGUGUUCUCGGUGUGCAACAGUGCGUUCGCCGAGUUGCGCUCUCGGAGUGCCGUAUAAUGCACAUUUGUAAAGUUACACGGGCUUAACACAGGCGGCCAGGUAUUUUUCACCGGUGCCUUAAUUGAAACCUUUUGUCGGGGAAAUAAAGUGUAUCCUUGGUCGUCUCGUUGUGGAUUAACAAAAAGAGCGGAAACAAAAAAAA
RNAcentral lists this long non-coding RNA (5430 nucleotides) under Apis mellifera (honey bee). Its description in RNAcentral is "uncharacterized LOC113218826". The record is from RNAcentral. Lineage: Eukaryota; Metazoa; Arthropoda; Insecta; Hymenoptera; Apidae.